Molecule: non-coding RNA, 286 nt
Organism: Oryza sativa Japonica Group (Japanese rice)
Lineage: Eukaryota; Viridiplantae; Streptophyta; Magnoliopsida; Poales; Poaceae
Source: RefSeq, a predicted model, not a curated record
GCCGCAAAAAUCUCGAUACGAUGCCGGCGGCUUGCCUGCUCCUGCUGGGCUGCAUGCAGGCUGCUCCCAUCCGCGAUAUCCCAAACAAAAUAGGAAUCAAAUUAGUGCCGGGGAGGAGAGAGGAUGCUGGAAAGUAGUCGAGCAGUCGUCCCAACAUAUCAGCCCACGUCCUCCGAUGUCGCCGCCGCGUCACCGUGGCCGCCUCUUCGUCAUCGUGCUCGUAGCCAGCCUGCCCACGAGCUCAAGGAGAUCUUCCCGUUCCCGUCGCCGCCCUGAGCUAUAUCUG